RNAcentral lists this ribosomal RNA (491 nucleotides) under uncultured bacterium. RNAcentral describes it as "partial 16S ribosomal RNA". It matches the Rfam family "Bacterial small subunit ribosomal RNA", at positions 29 to 507 of the family's 1533-position model. The record is from RNAcentral.
AGUGAACGCUGGCGGUAGGCCUAACACAUGCAAGUCGAACGGCAGCACAGUAAGAGCUUGCUCUUACGGGUGGCGAGUGGCGGACGGGUGAGGAAUACAUCGGAAUCUACUUUUUCGUGGGGGUUACGGAGGGGAAAUUAACGUAAAACCCCAUAACGCCCAAGGGGUGAAGGAGGGGGUCUUUCGGACUUUCCCGGAUGAAUUAGGCGAUGUCGGAUUAGCUAGUUGGCGGGGUAAAGGCCCACCAAGGCGACGAUCCGUAGCUGGUCUGAGAGGAUGAUCAGCCACACUGGAACUGAGACACGGUCCAGACUCCUACGGGAGGCAGCAGUGGGGAAUAUUGGACAAUGGGCGCAAGCCUGAUCCAGCCAUACCGCGUGGGUGAAGAAGGCCUUCGGGUUGUAAAGCCCUUUUGUUGGGAAAGAAAAGCAGCAGGUUAAUACCCCGCUGUUCUGACGGUACCCAAAGAAUAAGCACCGGCUAACUUCGUG